UACGGAGGGUGCAAGCGUUAUCCGGAUUCACUGGGUUUAAAGGGUGCGUAGGCGGGCAGGUAAGUCCGUGGUGAAAUCCCCGAGCUUAACUCGGGAACUGCCAUGGAUACUAUUUGUCUUGAAUAUUGUGGAGGUAAGCGGAAUAUGUCAUGUAGCGGUGAAAUGCUUAGAUAUGACAUAGAACACCAAUUGCGAAGGCAGCUUACUACACAGUUAUUGACACUGAGGCACGAAAGCGUGGGGAUCAAACAGG
Molecule: ribosomal RNA, 253 nt
Filed under: uncultured bacterium
Lineage: Bacteria
Description: partial 16S ribosomal RNA
Rfam family: Bacterial small subunit ribosomal RNA
Source: RNAcentral